Molecule: ribosomal RNA, 204 nt
Filed under: uncultured Legionella sp.
Lineage: Bacteria; Pseudomonadati; Pseudomonadota; Gammaproteobacteria; Legionellales; Legionellaceae
Description: partial 16S ribosomal RNA
Rfam family: Bacterial small subunit ribosomal RNA
Source: RNAcentral
UACUCCUACGGGAGGCAGCAGUAGGGAAUAUUGGGCAAUGGGGGCAACCCUGAUGCAGCAAUGCCGCGUGUGUGAGGAAGGCCUUCGGGUCGUAAAGCUCUGUUCCUUGGGGAGGAUGAGUGAUUAGGGAUCUAUAAGUCCCUGAUUGGACGUUACCUACAGAGAAAGGACCGGCUAACUUCGUGCCAGCAGCCGCGGUAAUAC